RNAcentral lists this ribosomal RNA (497 nucleotides) under uncultured bacterium. Its description in RNAcentral is "partial 16S ribosomal RNA". It matches the Rfam family "Bacterial small subunit ribosomal RNA", at positions 28 to 507 of the family's 1533-position model. The record is from RNAcentral.
GACGAACGCUGGCGGCGUGCCUAAUACAUGCAAGUUGAGCGAUGAAGAUUGGUGCUUGCACCAAUUUGAAGAGCAGCGAACGGGUGAGUAACGCGUGGGGAAUCUGCCUUUGAGCGGGGGACAACAUUUGGAAACGAAUGCUAAUACCGCAUAAUAACUUUAAACAUAAGUUUUAAGUUUGAAAGAUGCAAUUGCAUCACUCAAAGAUGAUCCCGCGUUGUAUUAGCUAGUUGGUGAGGUAAAGGCUCACCAAGGCGAUGAUACAUAGCCGACCUGAGAGGGUGAUCAGCCACAUUGGGACUGAGACACGGCCCAAACUCCUACGGGAGGCAGCAGUAGGGAAUCUUCGACAAUGGACGAAAGUCUGACCGAGCAACGCCGCGUGAGUGAAGAAGGUUUUCGGAUCGUAAAACUCUGUUGGUAGAGAAGAACGUUGGUGAGAGUGGAAAGCUCAUCAAGUGACGGUAACUACCCAGAAAGGGACGGCUAACUACGUG